UGGCACCUUAAGGGGAUGCCGAUCCUGCCAAGUGGGCUGAGGAAAGAGGAAGAUGGGUUUAGCUAGGGAGCAGGGAGGGGAAGGAGGCCUGUCUAUAGGUAAAGGCCACAGGGCAAGAGACAAGUCUUCCUAAGAUGACACAGCCCUACCGGAGAACUGGAGGUGGUCUGGUUGCAAGCACAGACUCACAAGGGUGACCUGCCCUUCUCUCCCCAGAGGACUGACCUCCAAAAACUUGAAGUAGGGAAUGUGGGCCUUGAACACCGGCUGCCCUGUAGAGCCACACAAGUCUCAGAGAUGUAACUCACAGGCAGUCACUAGCCAGUAACAACUGCACUGGGCUGGCGUCACUCCAAGGACUAUUCACCUGGCUGUGCUGCCAAAUCAAAAGCGGAAGAGUUCAUUUCAUCCAAAUGGAAGUUUCUCAGCAAAGGCUGCAGUGGAGAUCUGAGAGAGCCCGGUGGCUCUGAGAAUCAACCCGGCUUCAAACAAAUGGGGUCACACAGGACAGAGGCAAAGAAACAUAAGACAACCCAAAGCUGUCUUCAAAGCUAUGCGGUCACCAAGCCCGCUGGGAAAGAGGACACAGAGAAGAGCAAAGAGAAUGGGCAAACGGAAGUCAUGGUCCCAGCAACGGAUUAAUCUAACAGUGGCUUUGAAGUCAGGCAGCCUUUCUGCAAAUUUACUAUGACAUUAAAUUAACUCAGCUUUGCUGUAA
This is a long non-coding RNA of Mastomys coucha (southern multimammate mouse), 718 nucleotides long. RefSeq lists it as uncharacterized. The transcript is spliced from 2 exons. Lineage: Eukaryota; Metazoa; Chordata; Mammalia; Rodentia; Muridae. The record is from RefSeq and is a predicted model, not a curated record.